GAUGAACGCUGGCGGCGUGCCUAAUACAUGCAAGUCGAGCGAACAGAUGAGGAGCUUGCUCCUCUGACGUUAGCGGCGGACGGGUGAGUAACACGUGGAUAACCUACCUAUAAGACUGGGAUAACUUCGGGAAACCGGAGCUAAUACCGGAUCAUAUAUUGAACCGCAUGGUUCAAUAGUGAAAGACGGUUUUGCUGUCACUUAUAGCUGGAUCCGCGCCGCAUUAGCUAGUUGGUAAGGUAACGGCUUACCAAGGCAACGAUGCGUAGCCGACCUGAGAGGGUGAUCGGCCACACUGGAACUGAGACACGGUCCAGACUCCUACGGGAGGCAGCAGUAGGGAAUCUUCCGCAAAGGGCGAAAGCCUGACCGAGCAACGCCGCGUGAGUGAUGAAGGUCUUCGGAUCGUAAAACUCUGUUAUUAGGGAAGAACAAAUGUGUAAGUAACUAUGCACGUCUUGACGGUACCUAAUCAGAAAGCCACGGCUAACUACGUG
Molecule: ribosomal RNA, 497 nt
Filed under: uncultured bacterium
Lineage: Bacteria
Description: partial 16S ribosomal RNA
Rfam family: Bacterial small subunit ribosomal RNA
Source: RNAcentral